UUGGGGUGCAGACUGGUGACAAGACAUUUGUGGAAGUUGUUGGUUUUGGUGACAGACAGAAUAUGGGUCAGAAGCUCAGCUCAAGUUCAUAUAGGUAGUUGAGCCUGUGAAAAAUGAAGGCCCAUUUCUAACACAUCUUGAAAGACUUCAGGAAGUCCCAAAGCACUUUACAAUAAAUGCGGUACUUUUGAAAUGUAAUUGCUGCUGUAAUGUUGGAAAUGUAGUCUAGUUAAUCCUGAGAAUGUGAACUGAAAGCAGCAAGGAAGCAAUGGCCAGGGACUGGAGUUUGAGGUGGGAGCUGUAGACAAUGGCUUAUAUUUUGUUGGAAUAAGGCACCUUGUGCCUUGACUAUUUCAAAUAUUUUCCUCAACCUUCAGUUCAAAAUUUUCUUGCGCCACAAAUUGCUGGAAGAGCAUACGAUACAACUACUGUUCAAGUCAAUCUCCAAAUCUAAGAUAAUUUGAUGACAAGCUUUUCCCUGAGAUUAGUGUCACAGCAGUGCAAACAGUUUGGCAAUUCAUGAUUACUGAUCCUCUAUUUCUACAGGUGGCCCCUGAUCUACAAAUGUCCAAUUUAACAAAUGCUCGUACUUAUGAACAUGACCCCAAACAAGGGUGUAAUUUUAAAGAUCGACAAAUGAACAUUUCCUGUACUUAUAAACGGCUACUUUUAUAUUGUU
Rhincodon typus (whale shark) is the source of this 679-nucleotide long non-coding RNA. RefSeq lists it as uncharacterized. Lineage: Eukaryota; Metazoa; Chordata; Chondrichthyes; Orectolobiformes; Rhincodontidae. The transcript has 3 exons. The record is from RefSeq and is a predicted model, not a curated record.